AUGAUUCCAGAACCUGGAAUCAUACCAGCCGAUGGGUGGUGGUUUAUCGCUCGUUCAGCUAACGGCGGUCAUUUGAUGCUCAUUCGCACGUACCAAAUUGACCAAACCAUUACAUCAAACCACAGGCAGUACAAUGCAUGGGGCGUUCGUGACAUUGAUGGCUAUGGUUGCUUCGUGUUCGAGAAAGAUUGCAGCUCCUUAGGGCCAGGCGUAUUCAACUGGAGGCGGUACCAUAUAACUGGAAUUAACCGAUGCAAGUCCAAGAAGGAUUGGCCGGUGCUGCCGGCUGGCGUCAAGUUCGAUCCCAUGGAUCAGGAGCUGAUCGAGCACCUCGAGGCCAAAGUGAGUGCUGACAGUGCGAGACCUCACCCUCUCAUCAAUUUGUUCAUACCAACCAUCAACAACGAGCACGACAUAUGCUAUACCCAUCUUGAGAAACUUCCAGAUGCAUGCCUGCGCAAUUCCAGGGCGUUCAAAAGGGGCACGUGGAUGCGUCGCAAGAUACAGUCAGAGUGCGGCAUGCAUGUGAUGUGGAACAAGACCGGCAAUACCUUGCCGGUGAUGGUCAAUGGACGGCAGACGGGCAGCAAAAAGGUUCUGGUGCUACACACGAACAAGAACUUCAACCAGCAGAGGACCAACUGGGUGAUGCAUCAGUACCACCUCGGGGACCUGGAGCAAGAGAAGGAGCGGGAGGUGGUCCUCUGCAAGAUUUUCUACCAGACGAACCCUAGGGCCAGGAGUAUAUUGAUUUUUCAGGUCGAGCAAGUUUCAACUGGGUUGUAG
RNAcentral lists this ribosomal RNA (786 nucleotides) under Triticum aestivum (bread wheat). RNAcentral describes it as "partial small subunit ribosomal RNA". The record is from RNAcentral. Lineage: Eukaryota; Viridiplantae; Streptophyta; Magnoliopsida; Poales; Poaceae.